This 2074-nucleotide long non-coding RNA is filed under the name Ananas comosus (pineapple). Its description in RNAcentral is "long non-coding RNA (ACOM_LNC010572)". Lineage: Eukaryota; Viridiplantae; Streptophyta; Magnoliopsida; Poales; Bromeliaceae. The record is from RNAcentral.
ACUUCACAUGUGUUAUAGGGCAAAAUGGAGUUGAGUCCAAAGCAUAUUGGGAAAUAUUUAUUUAUUUUUUGCUGGGAUAAGAUAUUCAGCAUGAUUUUACUAAUGAAAAUACAUAUAGCACUUUUCUAUAGUUAUUUCUUUUAGCAUGUAGCGUAACCUCUUCGUAAUAUACUGAAGCUUAGCAAAUUAGCAAGGUUACAGUAUAAGUUAUGCUUGAUUGAGUUGGAAACGUUUUGCGCAAAAUAGACGUAAAAACAGACUUUGAAACUCAAGAUUUAUAUUGUAGGAGACUAAAGUUGAAUACUGUAGUAAGUGAGGGGCUUUUGGACAAUUGUUGCCUUUCAACCUUAUCCCCACGGCCUUAAUUAGGAUAGGGAGGCUGUGAGGGAUUUAAUUAACUUUCUCCUCUUUCUCUCUCUAAUUUAGCUCGUGGGCUUGGUGGAGAGCUCGAGCUCGGGAGAUUUUCGUCGUCGUUUCGGAGAGCCGUUCGAGCGUGUGUUCGUCGUGGUAGCACUGUGGGGAGGCCGGGCGAGGGUGCGGUUUUGCUUCUUUCGACUCCUCGCCGUUGUUGGACGCGUUUUCGAGGCGGGUUAAAAUGAUGCUUACCGAAUUCUAUGGGAUUCCUCCUAAUGCUAUAUAUGUCGACAACAUAUAUUUUUAGCUUUGUUUAGUAUAUUGGUUAGCUCGAUUCUUGGAAUUUCAUGCCUAUGAACUUGAAUUGGAGCGUAGAAAACUAGCUAAAAUAUGCAUGUUGGACUUGGAUUUGACUUAGGAGAAAACUGAUGUUUCUACACCACCAUUUGAACAAACUACCAGAUUUAGCUUUAGGAGCCGUAAUUUGAUUGUAUCACCGCAGUUUAUGGGCGGUGGAUAUCCAGAAUAGUGUAGAAUAUAUUUACGCUCGUGCUGAGGUGCCGAGUGUAUUUUUACAGCAGUGUUUAGGCUGUUCAGAAUUGUCGGGUGCUGUUGAGGUUAACGGUGGACCCAGAUUGCUAUUUUUGCAUCAGAUUGUGUCGAGGGCAUGUGAGUUCAGUUGUUAGACCCUAUUUACUUGAUUAUAGCCUGUGAGAGCCUGAUUGAGCUCGACAGAGAUAUGUUUGCAUACACGGUUGGAUAGCGCCCAUGAGUGCCACUCCGGAGUCGGGCUUUGUGCGUUUACGUUGGUAUCGUUGUGUCCUGGUUGGACUUGCUCUCCGCGGAUUGCUUAGUGUGGAGAUAGCUAUUUAGCUUCGACAGGCUGGGACGGGUGUUUUCACAGUCCCUGGGACGGAUGUGUUCACAGUCCCCGAUGAGAAUGGGUCAGAUUGUACUUUUCUACAGAUAGUGGGUGAUAGACCGGAAUAGUAUAGGUGCAUAUAGCUGUAGAUUUAUUCCAGCUUUCUUACUAUUCUUGUUUACAUCUAUAGACUUAGUGGGUGAGUCGUUGGGGUUGGUAGCGGUACCCACUGAGGACUACUUUUUGCAGUAGUUCUCACGCCCAGUUAUUGUAAUCUUUUGCAGAGCCUUCUUUUUCGGCUGUUGCUGCUGCUGAUUCGGACUGUGGAAAGGGAGUCGCGAAUUAUAUCCCUUCCCAGUUGCUGCUGAGCUAGAAUAUACCAGCUACAGAUAGUGGUAGUUUUUGAGUUCAUAUACAUACUUAUGUUGUAUCUCGCUGGAGCGAGCGUUUUGUAUACCUGGAUUUGAUGUAUGUAUCGUGAACUUCUGUUUUUAUAUUUGUUCUCUUUUAGCAGCUCUAUACUACUGGUUGUAGUAUUGUAUGAUUACAGGUACAGCUAUCGCUUCGUAUACAGAAAAAAUUUCUUUGUAUAUGGCGGAUUUGUCGGCGUGCCCGAAAAAACGAGUAAUUCGGGGCGUGACACUCUUAGCAAUCAUAAAUUAGAUAAAUAAUUUGGCUCGUUCCGGUUUAGAAGCUUGAAAUGAAAAGUAAAAUAAUAAAACAAAUGAACCAAAUAGAUAGAAUUAAUUAAUUUUUUAAAAAUUUAAUAUUAUAUUAAUUAUAAGCCUAUAAAAAACUAUAUUAAUAUCCUAGAUAAUAAUCAAUAAUUAGAAAAUUCAACUAUUAUUAUCUUCAAAU